RNAcentral lists this ribosomal RNA (493 nucleotides) under uncultured bacterium. RNAcentral's name for it is "partial 16S ribosomal RNA". It matches the Rfam family "Bacterial small subunit ribosomal RNA", at positions 28 to 507 of the family's 1533-position model. The record is from RNAcentral.
GACGAACGCUGGCGGCGUGCUUAACACAUGCAAGUCGAACGGAAAGGCCUGCUUUCCCUUGUGGAUUGCGGGUACUCGAGUGGCGAACGGGUGAGUAACACGUGAGUGAUCUGCCCCCAACUUGGGUAUAAGCCUGGGAAACUGGGUCUAAUUCCCGAUAGGACUGCAGGGUGGUGCCUGUGGUGGAAAACGAUUUUCUAGUGGUUGGGGAUGAGCUCGCGGCCUAUCAGCUUGUUGGUGGGGUAAUGGCCUACCAAGGCGGCGACGGGUAGCCGGCCUGAGAGGGUGGACGGCCACAUUGGGACUGAGAUACGGCCCAGACUCCUACGGGAGGCAGCAGUGGGGAAUAUGCACAAUGGGCGGAAGCCUGAUGCAGCGACGCCGCGUGGGGGAUGACGGCCUUCGGGUUGUAAACUCCUUUCGACCGCGAGGAAGCCACCUGGUUGGAAGGGUGGUGACGGUAGUGGUAGAAGAAGCACCGGCUAACUACGUG